GACGAACGCUGGCGGCGUGCUUAACACAUGCAAGUCGAACGGAAAGGCCCUGCUUUUGUGGGGUGCUCGAGUGGCGAACGGGUGAGUAACACGUGAGUAACCUGCCCUUGACUUUGGGAUAACUUCAGGAAACUGGGGCUAAUACCGGAUAUGAGCUCCUGCUGCAUGGUGGGGGUUGGAAAGUUUCGGCGGUUGGGGAUGGACUCGCGGCUUAUCAGCUUGUUGGUGGGGUAGUGGCUUACGAAGGCUUUGACGGGUAGCCGGCCUGAGAGGGUUAACGGCGACAUUGGGACUGAGAGACGGACCAGACGCCUACGGGAGGCAGCAGUGGGGAAUAUUGCACAAUGGGCGGAAGCCUGAUGCAGAAACGCCGCGUGCGGGAUGACGGCCUACGGGUGGUAAACCGAUUUCGCCGGUGACGAAGCGUGAGUGACGGUAAUGGGUAAAGAAGCACCGGCUAACUACGUG
RNAcentral lists this ribosomal RNA (468 nucleotides) under uncultured bacterium. RNAcentral's name for it is "partial 16S ribosomal RNA". It matches the Rfam family "Bacterial small subunit ribosomal RNA", at positions 28 to 507 of the family's 1533-position model. The record is from RNAcentral.